This 253-nucleotide ribosomal RNA is filed under the name uncultured bacterium. Its description in RNAcentral is "partial 16S ribosomal RNA". It matches the Rfam family "Bacterial small subunit ribosomal RNA", at positions 524 to 776 of the family's 1533-position model. The record is from RNAcentral.
UACAGAGGUCUCAAGCGUUGUUCGGAUUCAUUGGGCGUAAAGGGUGCGUAGGCGGCGCGGUAAGUCGGGUGUGAAAUCUCGGAGCUUAACUCCGAAACUGCAUUCGAUACUGCCGUGCUUGAGGACUGGAGAGGAGACUGGAAUUUACGGUGUAGCGGUGAAAUGCGUAGAUAUCGUGAGGAAGACCAGUGGCGAAGGCGGAUCUCUGGACAGCUCCUGACGCUGAGGCGCGAAGGCUAGGGGAGCAAACGGG